UACGUAGGAUGCAAGCGUUGUCCGGAAUUAUUGGGCGUAAAGAGCUCGUAGGCGGUUUGUCGCGUCUGCUGUGAAAACUCGGGGCUUAACUCCGGGCCUGCAGUGGGUACGGGCAGACUAGAGUGCGGUAGGGGAGACUGGAAUUCCUGGUGUAGCGGUGAAAUGCGCAGAUAUCAGGAGGAACACCGGUGGCGAAGGCGGGUCUCUGGGCCGUAACUGACGCUGAGGAGCGAAAGCGUGGGGAGCGAACAGG
Molecule: ribosomal RNA, 253 nt
Filed under: uncultured bacterium
Lineage: Bacteria
Description: partial 16S ribosomal RNA
Rfam family: Bacterial small subunit ribosomal RNA
Source: RNAcentral